ACACAAACUCAAGCAAAUUAAGAACAAGACAAUGAAAAGCUCUUCACCAAAAUUUGCUCUCCUUUUCCUUCUCUUGAUCCUCAUUGCAGGUAAGAGUGAAAACUAUAAAUCAUAUUCGUAACCAUUUAGAAUUUAAUUAGUUGCAUCUCCUAACAACUCGAGUUAGCAAUCAACUCAUAUAGCAAUUUCUAAUCACCUCCAUCCCUAAAAUACUUUAACAAUAUUUCAAAAAGUAAUUUUUUAAGGAAAAUGUUAAUUAAUAAGUACUCUUACGUCCUUAAUAAUUUUCUAAAUGAAAUGACACAUCACCCUCCAUUUUAUUUAGCGAUUGCUAAAAAUAUAUCGAUGGAGAUAUUCCAAGUAUUAUAACUAAUUUAUUAAGAUCAGGAUUAUUUUAACUAUAUGUUAUUUCAAUUUUUUUUAAUAUAUACAGUGUAAUUAUACCUGAGAUAGACAGUAACGUAAAUGGAAAUGGUUGCAUGCAUGCAGGAGAUGAGAUAAUUAGCGCACGGAAAUACACGGUGACGAAAGUGGGGGAGUGCGAGUGCGAGAUAUGCACAUGUAAUAAUGAUGGGGUAUGUACGUGUGCUGGACAAGUAGCAGUGAUGGGCAAUGAUGACGACCAGCACCUUUUAUCAAAGGAUAAGGAUGAAGUUAAAAUUAGUAAUUGAUCAAACUUUGUAAAUUAUGAAGUUAAUAAAAAUUGGUUAUUGGGUGAUAUUGAAUAAAUGAAUUAUAGUUUGUAAUUUUAUUUCCGGUGGGAAGAUUUUGUAGUAAAAUAAAUUGGAUAUUUGGUGUUUUUAACUUUUUUAAUUGGCGAAUUCAAGCUAUGAUAUAUUUAAUUUGUCCGCAAUUAUAUGCAAUGAUAAGAAGAUGAUCAUAUUCGAUAUUUGAUACACCUCCUCCUCCUCUUGGGUGAACUGAAGGUACUUGUAGAGUCUAAUGUUACAAUUCCGACCGGUUUGAUCACCGUCGUUAAUUAUAUAUAUACCGUCAUUUCAGGUUUAACGGUGGCGAACGUGUCGGAGAGCCGAGGACGACAACAAUGCUAUAGGGACAUCGAUUGCGCAUUCUAUUGUGCGAAACUCCAUCAAGGGAUUGCUCUCUGCAACUACAAAACUGGCUACUGCAUUUGUCUGCCUCCUCUUGCCCCCCUAUUCCGGAUAUCGUUAGGGACUCGUGUUUGUGUGAGUAUUUUGGGAGAACGGAAAUUUGAAAUAGUAAGAGAUUCGAAAUGGUUAUUGUUUUUUCAGAAGAUUUGUAAUAAUAAAUGCAAACUGGAUUUAUGUACAGAAAAUAAUUGAAAGAAAAAUUAAGACUUUUGAGUUUUUGACAGGUUUUUUUCAACAAAAGGGAAGGAAUCCAUGGCAUUUAACAAAAGAAAAGGAACCAUCACCUUCUUCAUUCAAAGGAGAAGGGAGAUCUGAAAGUGCAUAAUUCAACAACUUUUGCCAAUUAGAAAUUCAGUAUUAAUGAAUUAAUCAACGAGCGCGAUACAGUGGAGGCUCAACUCAUGUCGAUUUCGAAAUUCUCCAUGGGUACAUCUAGUUAAGACUAUUUGUUAGACCGGAAAUUCUGUGCAUUAAAUCAAUACACAGAAUUCACAAAAAUUUCAAAUUUCGCAAGAACCUCUAUCCGAGUUAAUUAAUGCACGAUAUCCACUGCAUUUAUUUCACCAAAUUACUUAGGUAGCAUGCAAUCAAUACAUUUAAUUAUUUUUCUCUUCCCAUUUAAUUUUAUUUUGGAACAUAACUCCUAUAUAACGAAGCACAUCCACUUAAUUAUCACAGUUCACACAAGCUCAAGCAAAGAGCAACACAAUGACAAACUCUUCAACAAAAUUUGCUCUCGUUUUCCUUUUCUUGAUCGUCAUUGCCGGUAAGCGUGAAAACUCUGUCUCAUUUCUUUCUUUGCUACAAAAGGAUUCAACGAAAUGUAUUACAUGUCGUGAUCAGCUCUUUUAAUCAAUCCGUUUGGAUCGGAGUUAGAAGCGAUAAUAAAAUCAACUUGUAUUGCAGGAGAGAUAAACGCACAGAAGUACCCGCCCACGGGCGAGAAAUGUGGCGUGAAGGGAGAUUGCAAGGGAGGAGUUUACUGCGUGUGUGAUAAGGGGAAAUGCUAUUGCUCUACUGCCCAUGAUGAGCCCUCUUUUAUCAAAGGAGAAGCAAGAUCAUAGUAAAAAUAAUUGUGUGAUCAUAUAACUAAUAAAUUAAGCUAGCUUGUUGUUGGGAGAUUUUGAAUAAAAUAAAUUAUAAUUAUAACUCGUCAAUCGAAAAUAAUCGAAACAAAUAUCUAUAAGUAUUUCAUUCCACCUUAUUGCCUUUUUAUAUCGAAAGAA
This 2338-nucleotide long non-coding RNA is filed under the name Linum usitatissimum (flax). RNAcentral's name for it is "long non-coding RNA (LUSI_LNC005804)". The record is from RNAcentral. Lineage: Eukaryota; Viridiplantae; Streptophyta; Magnoliopsida; Malpighiales; Linaceae.